Ictidomys tridecemlineatus (thirteen-lined ground squirrel) is the source of this 643-nucleotide non-coding RNA. The record is from RefSeq and is a predicted model, not a curated record. NCBI's taxonomy places the organism in Eukaryota, Metazoa, Chordata, Mammalia, Rodentia, Sciuridae.
GGGUGGGAAGAUAGGACUUUCAGAGUCACUCUGCUGUCAUUUGGAUUCUGAGUGUCCCCUGAAGUCCACUUGGAAAGGCUGGCUUCUGGGGCUGUGAUGUUGGGACGUGCUGUGGACUCUAAGAGUUGGGGGUCUUCUGGUUUUUCUCUCUCUCUGCUCUGGUUUUAAAUGUGACCAUUAGCUCCUGCCAUGAUGUCCCACCACUGGCCACACUUACCUGUGGCCAGCCCAGGGGGCCACCUGAUCCUGGACUCGGAAUCCCCUAAACUGUGAGCUCAUCGGACGUUCCUUUAUCGGUAGCCGGUGUCAGGUGUCGACACGUCGUGGGGCCACACAGCUGAGAAGUGCGUGCGUCCCUCUGGAGGUUCCUAGGCCCCCAACACGCGGGAUUCAUCAAGAUGACAGCCAAUGGAGGCACAGGUGACCGGGAUCCUGAUAUGAAACCGUGCGAGCGACAGUCCCUGACCUUUGUCAGCCCCGGGAAUGGAUGCUCAAGGUUUGUGUGUCACCAAAUGGCCUCCUUGGAGCACCCCUGACAGGUGGACUCACAGCUGAUGACAUGUGGUUGCCAAGGCUGGUGGUGGCCGGGAGGGAGGCCGAGAGGAAGAGGCCUUGGGGUGAACCAGAUCCCAGGGUCUGCAGG